RNAcentral lists this ribosomal RNA (162 nucleotides) under Taraxacum sinicum. Its description in RNAcentral is "5.8S ribosomal RNA". It matches the Rfam family "5.8S ribosomal RNA". From Rfam's summary of the family: 5.8S ribosomal RNA (5.8S rRNA) is a component of the large subunit of the eukaryotic ribosome. It is transcribed by RNA polymerase I as part of the 45S precursor that also contains 18S and 28S rRNA. Functionally, it is thought that 5.8S rRNA may be involved in ribosome translocation. Lineage: Eukaryota; Viridiplantae; Streptophyta; Magnoliopsida; Asterales; Asteraceae. The record is from RNAcentral.
GAAUGACUCUCGGCAACGGAUAUCUCGGCUCACGCAUCGAUGAAGAACGUAGCAAAAUGCGAUACUUGGUGUGAAUUGCAGAAUCCCGUGAACCAUCGAGUUUUUGAACGCAAGUUGCGCCAGAAGCCAUCCGGUUCAGGGCACGCCUGCCUGGGCGUCACG